AAAUAAGAAGCAAAUAUUGUAGUCAGUUUCGACCUGUCCUUAGAUGUUAAUUCAUCCUUAUUUU
RNAcentral lists this transfer RNA (64 nucleotides) under Agrilus mali. RNAcentral's name for it is "tRNA-Arg". The record is from RNAcentral. Lineage: Eukaryota; Metazoa; Arthropoda; Insecta; Coleoptera; Buprestidae.